CGCGGAUUCGAUCAAGGGCCCGUCUUCCCUCAACGCGCCCAAAGGGCUUUCUGCCGAAUUCGGACCAAAUCCCAAGUCUCCUCUUAAGGCUGAGGAAGCGCCCCGCGCGCCUCGCUCAUCGCCGCGUGGCCACGUGGGUCUCUGGGGCCUCGGGGCCUGCCACGCCCCUUCCAGCCUCAGGGUCUUUGCACCUGCCGAUGCCUUCGUGUCUCCCAGCUCCACUCCGCUUCCAUUAGUUGUGGCCGCAUCCGGUUGCGCGGAGCCCAACACAGGGCUCGAACUCAAGGACCGGGAGAUCGAGACCUGAGCCGAGAUCCAGAAUCGGACGCUCAACCCACUGAGCCACCCAGGCGCCCCUGUGUGUUUAUAGUUUAUUGUAAAUUGUACUUAUAUUUUCCUAUCACUUUCUUUUAAGGCUAGAAGACAACUAAUAAAACAUAAAAUGAAACGAA
Long non-coding RNA from Felis catus (domestic cat), 452 nucleotides. RefSeq lists it as uncharacterized. The record is from RefSeq and is a predicted model, not a curated record. The transcript is spliced from 2 exons. NCBI's taxonomy places the organism in Eukaryota, Metazoa, Chordata, Mammalia, Carnivora, Felidae.